RNAcentral lists this ribosomal RNA (253 nucleotides) under uncultured bacterium. RNAcentral's name for it is "partial 16S ribosomal RNA". It matches the Rfam family "Bacterial small subunit ribosomal RNA", at positions 524 to 776 of the family's 1533-position model. The record is from RNAcentral.
UACGUAGGGUGCGAGCGUUAAUCGGAAUUAUUGGGCGUAAAGCGCGCGUAGGCGGUUACUCAAGUCGGAUGUGAAAGCCCUCGGCUUAACUGAGGAAGUGCACCCGAAACUGAGUAGCUAGAGUACCAAAGAGGGUCGCGGAAUUCCCGGUGUAGAGGUGAAAUUCGUAGAUAUCGGGAGGAACACCGGUGGCGAAGGCGGCGACCUGGGUGGAUACUGACGCUGAGGCGCGAAAGCGUGGGGAGCAAACAGG